RNAcentral lists this ribosomal RNA (478 nucleotides) under uncultured bacterium. RNAcentral describes it as "partial 16S ribosomal RNA". It matches the Rfam family "Bacterial small subunit ribosomal RNA", at positions 28 to 523 of the family's 1533-position model. The record is from RNAcentral.
GACGAACGCUGGCGGCGUGCUUAACACAUGCAAGUCGAACGGUAAGGCCCUUCGGGGUACACGAGUGGCGAACGGGUGAGUAACACGUGGGUGAUCUGCCCUGCACUUCGGGAUAAGCCUGGGAAACUGGGUCUAAUACCGGAUAGGACCACUGCCUGCAUGGGUGGUGGUGGAAAGCUUUUGCGGUGUGGGAUGGGCCCGCGGCCUAUCAGCUUGUUGGUGGGGGGGUGGCCUACCAAGGCGACGACGGGUAGCCGGCCUGAGAGGGUGACCGGCCACACUGGGACUGAGAUACGGCCCAGACUCCUACGGGAGGCAGCAGUGGGGAAUAUUGCACGAUGGGCGCAAGCCUGAUGCAGCGACGCCGCGUGAGGGAUGACGGCCUUCGGGUUGUAAACCUCUUUCAGCAUCGACGAAGCGAAAGUGACGGUAGGUGCAGAAGAAGGACCGGCCAACUACGUGCCAGCAGCCGCCGUAA